AUUGAACGCUGGCGGCACGCCUAACACAUGCAAGUCGAGCGGCAGCAUGGGAUGUAGCAAUACAUUCUGAUGGCGAGCGGCGGACGGGUGAGGAACACGUAGGAACCUGCCCUCAAGCGGGGGACAACCAGGGGAAACCUUGGCUAAUACCGCAUGAGACCGAGAGGUUAAAGCUGCCCGCAAGGGUGGCACUUGAGGAGGGGCCUGCGUCCGAUUAGCUGGCUGGUGAGGUAAUGGCUCACCAGGGCGAUGAUCGGUAACUGGUCUGAGAGGACGGCCAGUCACACUGGGACUGAGACACGGCCCAGACUCCUACGGGAGGCUG
This 325-nucleotide ribosomal RNA is filed under the name uncultured Pseudomonadota bacterium. RNAcentral describes it as "bacterial SSU rRNA". It matches the Rfam family "Bacterial small subunit ribosomal RNA", at positions 29 to 351 of the family's 1533-position model. The record is from RNAcentral. Lineage: Bacteria; Pseudomonadati; Pseudomonadota.